This 476-nucleotide ribosomal RNA is filed under the name uncultured bacterium. RNAcentral's name for it is "SSU rRNA". It matches the Rfam family "Bacterial small subunit ribosomal RNA", at positions 26 to 518 of the family's 1533-position model. The record is from RNAcentral.
AGGACGAACGCUGGCGGCGUGCUUAACACAUGCAAGUCGAGCGGAAAGGCCCUUCGGGGUACUCGAGCGGCGAACGGGUGAGUAACACGUGAGUAAUCUGCCCCUAGCUCUGGGAUAGCUCCGGGAAACCGGGAUUAAUACCAGAUACGACCACUUUAGACAUCUGCUGUGGUGGAAAGAAUUUCGGCUAGGGAUGAGCUCGCGGCCUAUCAGCUUGUUGGUGAGGUAACGGCUCACCAAGGCGACGACGGGUAGCCGGCCUGAGAGGGCGACCGGCCACACUGGGACUGAGACACGGCCCAGACUCCUACGGGAGGCAGCAGUGGGGAAUAUUGCGCAAUGGGCGAAAGCCUGACGCAGCGACGCCGCGUGGGGGAUGGAAGGCCUUCGGGUUGUAAACCCCGUUUCAGCAGGGACGAAGCGAAAGUGACGGUACCUGCAGAAGAAGCGCCGGCUAACUACGUGCCAGCAGCCGC